AAAUUUUGACAUCAUUUUAAAAUUUUGAUGUAAAUUUUUAAAAUUUAAUUUUCAGUUUGAAUUUAAACUAAUAUGUUAGAAAGAGAAAAUUGUCAUAUUAAUUUGAUUACGUUUUUAAUAUCUAUCUGAACCAAAUACUGACAAUAUGAAUGAUUCAUUUCGAUUUCAUUUCGAUUUAGGUGGCGAACCAAAUAGGAUGAAAUAAUGAAUCAUUCUGAUUCCAUUUAGACUUUUUCAUUAAACAGAAUGAGGUGAUGAAAAUAAACUGAUCAGAACUGAAUAUUCAAUUAUUAAAAAUAAACUUAUAAAUAUGUACAGAGGUUUUCGUAUUU
RNAcentral lists this long non-coding RNA (332 nucleotides) under Ananas comosus (pineapple). RNAcentral describes it as "long non-coding RNA (ACOM_LNC029555)". Lineage: Eukaryota; Viridiplantae; Streptophyta; Magnoliopsida; Poales; Bromeliaceae. The record is from RNAcentral.